GAAAAUUAAACAGCUAUGCCCAUAAGGGGCGACUACUCCUACCUAACUAUGGAAAGUAAAACUACAGCAACGGUCUCUCAAAAUUCGUGCUCCACUCUCUCUCUCUUCUUCCUCCUCUUCCUCGAAUGAUUCACAGCCAUGUGGUAUUUAUAGGCAUGAGUUAGGGCUACACAGGCUGGGCCCAAAAGGAGUGGGCUGGAAUUAGGGCUCCUCCUGCCCACGAUUGCAUCCAGAUCUGGAGCCUGAUUUGUUCUUAUCCAAACCUUAAGGGAUAAGGUUUUGGAUAUCUUUCCUUAUCUACAUCAUCUGCACUCUUCUUCUCUGCCCCGUCUGUACCUUCUGCCCAGCUGAUUCCGCUGCUCGGAUGAUUCCUCUGGCAAAGCCGACUUCGCUGCUCUGGCACUUUGAUUCCGCUGGCAGCUUGAUUUCUCUGGCAAAGCCGACUUCGCUGCUCUGGCAUUUUUGUACCUUCUGCCCAGCUGAUUCCGCUGCUCGGAUGAUUCCUCUGGCAAAGCCGACUUCGCUGCUCUGGCACUUUGAUUCCGCUGGCAGCUUGAUUUCUCUGGCAAAGCCGACUUCGCUGCUCUGGCAUUUCUGUACCUUCUGCCCACGAUCAUCUUCUGAUGCAACUGGGUCCCGCGCGGUACUUAUGGGCAAAAGGGUCGGUUUGCCUUGAGCAACUUCAAACUUCAUCUAAGCUUUUGUAACAUGCUGCUUCAAUCUCCAAUUGGCUCUGUAGCUGUGCUCAUACUUCUUCCCCGAACCGAAGUCGCAUUAUGCCCAGAACCCUCUUCCGAUGCAACUGGAUCCCGCGUGGUACUUAUGGGCAAAAGGUCGGUUUGCCCAAGAUCCUGCUUCUCGGACUUUUGAUCUUCAAAACAAGCUUUUGAGUGUCCCAAACUCUUCUGCUUCAAACUCAUGAAUCUUUCGCGGAAUGCAGC
RNAcentral lists this long non-coding RNA (941 nucleotides) under Salvia miltiorrhiza (redroot sage). RNAcentral's name for it is "long non-coding RNA (SMIL_LNC004654)". The record is from RNAcentral. Lineage: Eukaryota; Viridiplantae; Streptophyta; Magnoliopsida; Lamiales; Lamiaceae.